GCGAUAAGUAAUGUGAAUUGCAGAAUUCCGUGAAUCAUCGAAUCUUUGAACGCACAUUGCGCCCCCUGGCAUUCCGGGGGGCAUGCCUGUCCGAGCGUCAUUUCUGCCCUCAAGCACGGCUUGUGUGUUGGGUGUGGUCCCCCCGGGGACCUGCCCGAAAGGCAGCGGCGACGUCCGUCUGGUCCUCGAGCGUAUGGGGCUCUGUCACUCGCUCGGGAAGGACCUGCGGGGGUUGGUCACCACCAUAUUUCACCACGGUUGACCUCGGAUCAGGUAGGAGUUACCCGCUGAACUUAAGC
RNAcentral lists this unclassified non-coding RNA (299 nucleotides) under plant metagenome. RNAcentral's name for it is "partial contains 5.8S ribosomal RNA, internal transcribed spacer 2, and large subunit ribosomal RNA". The stretch from base 1 to 100 matches the Rfam family "5.8S ribosomal RNA", at positions 55 to 154 of the family's 154-position model. The record is from RNAcentral.